Molecule: ribosomal RNA, 448 nt
Filed under: Leptobrachium abbotti (lowland litter frog)
Lineage: Eukaryota; Metazoa; Chordata; Amphibia; Anura; Megophryidae
Description: partial 12S rRNA
Rfam family: Bacterial small subunit ribosomal RNA
Source: RNAcentral
CUUUCAGUUUUAAUUAAACAUACACAUGCAAGUCUCCCGCUCCAGUGAAAAUGCCCUUUAUCUUCCUCUAUUAGAAGAAAAGGAGUUGGUAUCAGGCUCAAAUAGCCCAAGACACCUAGCUCAGCCACACCUCCAAAGGACUUCAGCAGUGAUUAACAUUAAAUAUUAGCGCAAGCUAAAUUUAGUUAUAAUUUUUAUGGUCGGUUAAUUUCGUGCCAGCCACCGCGGUUAUACGAAAGACUUAAACUGGUAGCCACCGGCGUAAAGCGUGAUUAGGGGUAAAUGUUCUAUAAAGCUAAACUCUGAUAUAAUUGUUAUAAGUUUUUAUCAGCGGGAAACUCAAUAACGAAAGUAGCUUUAUUAUACCUGACUUCACGGUAGCCAAGACCCAAACUGGGAUUAGAUACCCCACUAUGCUUGGCCCUAAACUUUGAUAAUUACUAUUCAU